UACGGAGGGUGCAAGCGUUGUCCGGAUUUAUUGGGUUUAAAGGGUGCGUAGGUGGUUUUUUAAGUCAGUGGUGAAAGCCUACAGCUCAACUGUAGAGGUGCCAUUGAAACUGGAGAACUUGAGUAUGGACGAGGUAGGCGGAAUUUGUGGUGUAGCGGUGAAAUGCAUAGAUACCACAAAGAACACCAAUAGCGAAGGCAGCUUACUGGACCAUAACUGACACUGAGGCACGAAAGCGUGGGGAGCGAACAGGAUUAGAUACCCCCGUA
This 269-nucleotide ribosomal RNA is filed under the name uncultured prokaryote. Its description in RNAcentral is "partial 16S ribosomal RNA". It matches the Rfam family "Bacterial small subunit ribosomal RNA", at positions 524 to 792 of the family's 1533-position model. The record is from RNAcentral.